AAGUCGUAACAAGGUUUCCGUAGGUGAACCUGCGGAAGGAUCAUUAACACGUAUCCAACGUUAAAACCCCCCGUGCAUAUUAACGCUGCUCUCCUGCACCUCUAUGAAGCAAUCUCUGGUAAAUCACUCACGAAGACAGUUUGAUUCAGAGACCUCUUCAAUGGCGUGAGAGGAUAGAGGCGGCUUGUAAUUGGACCUGGUUUCUUCCGCAAGGAUGUAUAGUCUGAAUAACAGAUCGUUGGUGCAUCACGCUGCAACGGACAGGUCCCUGGGGGCUUCGGCUCCCCCUAAAUAUUUAACCCCAGCAUGUGAAUUCAGGGAAUCUGUUAACACAGAACCCAUUUAAAAAAACGAACAACUGUUAACAAUGGAUAUCUUGGUUCUC
RNAcentral lists this unclassified non-coding RNA (385 nucleotides) under fungal sp. RNAcentral describes it as "partial internal transcribed spacer region". The stretch from base 1 to 46 matches the Rfam family "Eukaryotic small subunit ribosomal RNA", at positions 1786 to 1831 of the family's 1831-position model. Lineage: Eukaryota; Fungi. The record is from RNAcentral.